AUUUUCGGGUAAUCGCGGCUGUUUUUACAGCUGAGGAAAGUCCAUGCUCGCACAAGACUGAGAUUGUCUGUAGUGUUCGUGCUUAGCGAAACCAUAAGCUAAGGUACUUCUUUUGGAGUAACGGCAGAAAAAAGGGCUAAGGAGCAAUCUAUGCCUGAGUAUUCUUGAAAGUGCCACAGUGACGAAGCAUUUUAGGAAACUAAAAUGGUGGAACGCGGUAAACCCCUCGAGCGAGCAACCCAAACAACGGUAGGGGCACUCUUUCUAAGGAAAUGAACGAUGAAGGAGCCGACAUUGUCGGAGAUAGAUGAUUACCACGUUAGGCAGCUUUCCCUGAGGUGUCUAGCGUACAGAACAUGGCUUACAGAA
RNAcentral lists this RNase P RNA (369 nucleotides) under Candidatus Enterococcus moelleringii. RNAcentral describes it as "RNase P RNA component class B". It matches the Rfam family "Bacterial RNase P class B". From Rfam's summary of the family: Ribonuclease P (RNase P) is a ubiquitous endoribonuclease, found in archaea, bacteria and eukarya as well as chloroplasts and mitochondria. Its best characterised activity is the generation of mature 5'-ends of tRNAs by cleaving the 5'-leader elements of precursor-tRNAs. Lineage: Bacteria; Bacillati; Bacillota; Bacilli; Lactobacillales; Enterococcaceae. The record is from RNAcentral.